This 332-nucleotide ribosomal RNA is filed under the name uncultured bacterium. Its description in RNAcentral is "bacterial SSU rRNA". It matches the Rfam family "Bacterial small subunit ribosomal RNA", at positions 568 to 898 of the family's 1533-position model. The record is from RNAcentral.
CGUGUAGGCGGCUUGACAAGUCAGAUGUGAAAUCCCUGGGCUUAACCCAGGAAGUGCAUUUGAAACUGUCUGGCUAGAGUAAGGGAGAGGAAAGUGGAAUUCCUGGUGUAGAGGUGAAAUUCGUAGAUAUCAGGAGGAACACCGGUGGCGAAGGCGACUUUCUGGCCCUAUACUGACGCUGAGACGCGAAAGCGUGGGUAGCAAACAGGAUUAGAUACCCUGGUAGUCCACGCUGUAAACGAUGUUCACUAGGUGUUGGGGGUAUUGACCCUUUCAGUGCCGCAGCUAACGCAUUAAGUGAACCGCCUGGGGAGUACGGUCGCAAGAUUAAA